GUUGACUUUAUGCAUUUAUUCAACCAUUACUAUCAGGAGGAAGUUGUGCCCAGUCCUUGGGCCCAUAAAGUUCAGUUUGUCAAUGAGGUUGGCUCUUCAAGGACACACAACAGACAAGAUCUCAGGGAGACUGAUUGAACUGCCCAGGGGUUGGUAUCUGCCCCCACCCCUGCCCCGUUCGGGUUCUGUUCUAUGCUGUGGCCCUGCUCUUAAUCACUAAGAAAGGGAGACUGGAGCCAUCAAAGAGAGACUUCCCAAAGCCCCUGCUCACUCACGCACUCUGGAAGCCUGCCUGAGAUGCUUGCUGCUGUUCUCACAUGUCUCUGCCAGGUGACUACAGGCACUGACUGUUCAUGUGUCUGUGUCUCCCCCACGUGACUUCAGUUUCUGCUCUGUCAUCCAUGCGUCUGGGCACAGGUGCUGACUCCAAGAUCCUCCUGCGGUUUCAGUGUGUUCCUCCCAGGCACUCCCCAUCCACAGCCAUUCUUGCCUCAAGAUCCAUAACCGGUAGCCCUGGAGUCUCCACUUCUCGCAUCCUUAAAUUCAGGAUCCUCUUCAUUGAAAGACUCCCAAGGGUCGGGUGUGGUAGUAUAGGCCUAUAAUCCCAGCACUCAGGGCAGACACAGGUGGAUCUCUGUGGUCUAUGUAUGGAGCUCUAGGCUAGGCAGGACUACAUAGUGAAAGCCUCAGGACUCCUCCUGGUGGCUGCAGUGGCCUUCCUCAGCGUCCUGGUUUUGAUGUCUGUCAGGUGGGAGUGUGAUUUUAGGCCAGGGGACUUGUGAAGACAUCAGCGCCACUUCCUAGACCUGUGGGAUCACAUCUUGGGACACUCGGUCUGAUAGCCGUUAGAACUCUAAGAGAAAUGAAUCCCAGACUAGGUAUCAAAGUAUGAACUGUCCCUCUAACCUCCAUCAGAUCAGCCAACGUUAUGGUCCUGUAUUCACCAUCUAUCUGGGAUCUCGCCGAAUUGUGGUGCUGUGCGGACAGGAGACAGUCAAGGAAGCUCUGGUGGACCAAGCUGAGGAAUUCAGCGGGCGGGGCGAGCAGGCUACCUUCGACUGGCUUUUCAAAGGCUAUGGUGAGAGGGUCUUCCCAGGCAUAGCCUUCAGCAGCGGGGAGCGAGCCAAACAGCUAAGGCGCUUCUCCAUCACCACGCUGCGGGACUUCGGCGUGGGGAAGCGUGGCAUCGAGGAGCGCAUCCAAGAGGAGGCGGGCUUUCUCAUCGAUUCAUUUCGGAAGACGAACGGUAAGCAGAGCACCGCAAGUUCUCAGGACCUUAGCCGAACAGUCUCCAAUGUCAUUAGCUCAAUCGUCUUCGGGGACCGCUUUGACUA
Molecule: non-coding RNA, 1334 nt
Filed under: Mus musculus (house mouse)
Lineage: Eukaryota; Metazoa; Chordata; Mammalia; Rodentia; Muridae
Source: RNAcentral